CUAGUAACGGCCGCCAGUGUGCUGGAAUUCGCCCUUAGGCCUAACACAUGCAAGUCGAGCGGUAGCACAGAGAGCUUGCUCUCGGGUGACGAGCGGCGGACGGGUGAGUAAUGUCUGGGAAACUGCCUGAUGGAGGGGGAUAACUACUGGAAACGGUAGCUAAUACCGCAUAACGUCGCAAGACCAAAGUGGGGGACCUUCGGGCCUCAUGCCAUCAGAUGUGCCCAGAUGGGAUUAGCUAGUAGGUGGGGUAACGGCUCACCUAGGCGACGAUCCCUAGCUGGUCUGAGAGGAUGACCAGCCACACUGGAACUGAGACACGGUCCAGACUCCUACGGGAGGCAGCAGUGGGGAAUAUUGCACAAUGGGCGCAAGCCUGAUGCAGCCAUGCCGCGUGUGUGAAGAAGGCCUUCGGGUUGUAAAGCACUUUCAGCGGGGAGGAAGGCGGUGAGGUUAAUAACCUUGUCGAUUGACGUUACCCGCAGAAGAAGCACCGGCUAACUCCGUGCCAGCAGCCGCGGUAAUACGGAGGGUGCAAGCGUUAAUCGGAAUUACUGGGCGUAAAGCGCACGCAGGCGGUCUGUCAAGUCGGAUGUGAAAUCCCCGGGCUCAACCUGGGAACUGCAUUCGAAACUGGCAGGCUAGAGUCUUGUAGAGGGGGGUAGAAUUCCAGGUGUAGCGGUGAAAUGCGUAGAGAUCUGGAGGAAUACCGGUGGCGAAGGCGGCCCCCUGGACAAAGACUGACGCUCAGGUGCGAAAGCGUGGGGAGCAAACAGGAUUAGAUACCCUGGUAGUCCACGCCGUAAACGAUGUCGAUUUGGAGGUUGUGCCCUUGAGGCGUGGCUUCCGGAGCUAACGCGUUAAAUCGACCGCCUGGGGGAGUACGGCCGCAAGGUUAAAACUCAAAUGAAUUGACGGGGGCCCGCACAAGCGGUGGAGCAUGCGGUUUAAUUCGAUGCAACGCGAAGAACCUUACCUGGUCUUGACAUCCACAGAACUUUCCAGAAAAUGGAUUGGUGCCUUCCGGGAAC
Molecule: ribosomal RNA, 1031 nt
Filed under: uncultured bacterium
Lineage: Bacteria
Description: bacterial SSU rRNA
Rfam family: Bacterial small subunit ribosomal RNA
Source: RNAcentral